UCCGUAGGUGGAUAAUUAAGUCAGAGGUGAAAUCCUGCAGCUCAACUGUAGAAUUGCCUUUGAUACUGGUUAUCUUGAGUCAUUAUGAAGUGGUUAGAAUGUGUAGUGUAGCGGUGAAAUGCAUAGAUAUUACACAGAAUACCGAUUGCGAAGGCAGAUCACUAAUAAUGUACUGACACUGAUGGACGAAAGCGUGGGGAGCGAACAGGAAUAGAUACCCUGGUAGUCC
This 229-nucleotide ribosomal RNA is filed under the name uncultured bacterium. RNAcentral's name for it is "partial 16S ribosomal RNA". It matches the Rfam family "Bacterial small subunit ribosomal RNA", at positions 568 to 796 of the family's 1533-position model. The record is from RNAcentral.